UGGGGAAUAUUGGACAAUGGGCGAAAGCCUGAUCCAGCCAUGCCGCGUGUGUGAAGAAGGCCUUUUGGUUGUAAAGCACUUUAAGUGGGGAGGAAAAGCUUAUGGUUAAUACCCAUAAGCCCUGACGUUACCCACAGAAUAAGCACCGGCUAACUCUGUGCCAGCAGCCGCGGUAAUACAGAGGGUGCAAGCGUUAAUCGGAAUUACUGGGCGUAAAGCGAGCGUAGGUGGUCAUUUAAGUCAGAUGUGAAAGCCCCGGGCUUAACCUGGGAACUGCAUCUGAUACUGGAUGACUAGAGUAGGUGAGAGGGAAGUAGAAUUCCAGGUGUAGCGGUGAAAUGCGUAGAGAUCUGGAGGAAUACCGAUGGCGAAGGCAGCUUCCUGGCAUCAUACUGACACUGAGGUUCGAAAGCGUGGGUAGCAAACAGGAUUAGAUACCCUGGUAGUCCACGCCGUAAACGAUGUCUACCAGUCGUUGGGUCUUUUAAAGACUUAGUGACGCAGUUAACGCAAUAAGUAGACCGCCUGGGGAGUACGGCCGCAAGGUUAA
RNAcentral lists this ribosomal RNA (550 nucleotides) under uncultured bacterium. RNAcentral describes it as "bacterial SSU rRNA". It matches the Rfam family "Bacterial small subunit ribosomal RNA", at positions 355 to 897 of the family's 1533-position model. The record is from RNAcentral.